Molecule: ribosomal RNA, 1301 nt
Filed under: metagenome
Description: bacterial LSU rRNA
Rfam family: Bacterial large subunit ribosomal RNA
Source: RNAcentral
CCACACGACCGUACCGCAAACCGACACUGGUGCGCGAGAUGAGUAUUCUAAGGCGCUUGAGAGAACUCAGGAGAAGGAACUCGGCAAAUUGACACCGUAACUUCGGAAGAAGGUGUGCCUUUAGUAGGUGAACCUGUACAAGGGGAGCCCAAUGAGGUUGCAAAAAAUCGGUGGCUGCGACUGUUUAAUAAAAACACAGCACUCUGCAAACACGAAAGUGGACGUAUAGGGUGUGACGCCUGCCCGGUGCUGGAAGAUUAAAUGAUGGGGUGCAAGCUCUUGAUUGAAGUCCCAGUAAACGGCGGCCGUAACAAUAACGGUCCUAAGGUAGCGAAAUUCCUUGUCGGGUAAGUUCCGACCUGCACGAAUGGCGUAACGAUGGCCACACUGUCUCCUCCUGAGACUCAGCGAAGUUGAAAUGUUUGUGAUGAUGCAAUCUCCCCGCGGAAAGACGGAAAGACCCCAUGAACCUUUACUGUAGCUUUGUAUUGGACUUUGAACAGAUCUGUGUAGGAUAGGUGGGAGGCUUUGAAGUGUGGUCGCUAGAUCGCAUGGAGCCAACGUUGAAAUACCACCCUGGUGUGUUUGAGGUUCUAACCUAGGCCCGUAAUCCGGGUCGGGGACAGUGCAUGGUAGGCAGUUUGACUGGGGCGGUCUCCUCCCAAAGCGUAACGGAGGAGUUCGAAGGUACGCUAGGUACGGUCGGACAUCGUGCUAAUAGUGCAAUGGCAUAAGCGUGCUUAACUGCGAGACUGACAAGUCGAGCAGAUGCGAAAGCAGGACAUAGUGAUCCGGUGGUUCUGUAUGGAAGGGCCAUCGCUCAACGGAUAAAAGGUACUCUGGGGAUAACAGGCUGAUACCGCCCAAGAGUUCAUAUCGACGGCGGUGUUUGGCACCUCGAUGUCGGCUCAUCUCAUCCUGGGGCUGUAGCCGGUCCCAAGGGUAUGGCUGUUCGCCAUUUAAAGAGGUACGUGAGCUGGGUUUAAAACGUCGUGAGACAGUUUGGUCCCUAUCUUCCGUGGGCGCUGCAGAUUUGAGGAAGCCUGCUCCUAGUACGAGAGGACCGGAGUGGACACACCUCUGGUGUAUCGGUUGUCACGCCAGUGGCAUUGCCGAGUAGCUAUGUGUGGAAGAGAUAACCGCUGAAAGCAUCUAAGCGGGAAACUCGUUUCAAGAUGAGAUCUGCCGGGGCCUUGAGCCCCCUAAAGAGUCGUUCAAGACCAGGACGUUGAUAGGUCGGGUGUGGAAGCGCAGUAAUGCGUUAAGCUAACCGAUACUAAUUGCUCGUGCGGCUUGACCAA